GGCCCUAUAGCUCAGUGGUUAGAGCACUGGUCUUGUAAACCAGGGGUCGCGAGUUCAAUUCUCGCUGGGGCCUGA
This 75-nucleotide transfer RNA is filed under the name Merluccius polli (Benguela hake). RNAcentral describes it as "tRNA-Thr". It matches the Rfam family "tRNA". From Rfam's summary of the family: Transfer RNA (tRNA) molecules are approximately 80 nucleotides in length. Their secondary structure includes four short double-helical elements and three loops (D, anti-codon, and T loops). The record is from RNAcentral. Lineage: Eukaryota; Metazoa; Chordata; Actinopteri; Gadiformes; Merlucciidae.